Molecule: long non-coding RNA, 1207 nt
Organism: Xiphophorus couchianus (Monterrey platyfish)
Lineage: Eukaryota; Metazoa; Chordata; Actinopteri; Cyprinodontiformes; Poeciliidae
Exons: 4
Source: RefSeq, a predicted model, not a curated record
CCUUUGUUUGGGGGACGUUGCUUCCGGAUUGGUUAUGGGGCGCAGUUCCGGUUUGCCUCAAACGCAAUCUGGACAAGUACACCUGGAUGCUAAUGGCAGCGCUUCGGACGUCAUUGUUGAUUUCUAUUUUAUUACUUCCGAUCUGUGGUCAAAUCUGCUGAAGGAGUCUGGCACAUCCUCACCGCCAGUGUAUCAGCAGUGCAUGGAAGGAGAGCUUCAGGGAAGGAUGACCCACUAAACUCACCACUUCUCUAACCCUGACAUUUAGCAGUCUGACAUGAGAACUGGUUGAACAGGCAGCUUAACUUGUUUUGAGAAUGGCAAACAUGGAGUCCCUCGGGGCAGAUCCCACAAAGGAAAUGGCCUGUGUCUGUUUGUGUUUGUAAGACACAAAAAAGAAGAAUGGAGUGAAUAGGGGGAAGAGAGCUCCGGCAUCGCUGAGUUUGAACAGAACGCCGAGCAUAUGGCUUUGAGUCAUUCAGCGGAGGAAAGAGAAAGAUGGGAUGUGCAAACCCCUUCAAUGCCUCCAUGCUGCUCUUCCCCCCCUCCACUCCACCAUCCGUCCCCUUGUAUUGGCAGACUGGGAAGCAGAUGAUCAUCCUUUGAACCCAUUACUCAGCCUGAUCCUCUUAUCAUAACCAACCUUCCUGAGUCUCUAAUUUGGGGUCUGCCAAACUCCGCUCUGUGCACAAUGUGGCUUUCGUUUCUCUCCCAUUGAGCCCUUCUUCUUUUUUUUCUACCUCAUCAAUAUGUGUGUGAGGGAAGUGAGUCAAAGGAGAGCGAACAGGGAUCCUCUGCACACAUUUGUGCACCUAUCUCAGGGGAUAUUCCAGCACUCUGAAAUAAGACAAGCAUGUGGGUGGGUCAGUAUUCUGGGAACACAAAGGUUUCAUCUUCAGCUACCUGCUACUCACACCUUUCCAAGGAAUCGCUCAUUUUCCCUCCCUGGCUCUGUGUCCUGCAAAUAUCACAUUCCCCUUUGGUUUAUAGCACAUGUUCGGUGCAUUCCUCUGUGGGGGGAUGUGGUCAAAUAAAUGGGCUCGCAAUCCCACCCAGGGUAGGGAAUACACCACAAUGUCUUAUUGUUUUAAAUGGAAGUAUAUCAAACGUUGGGAAUGAAACAAUGGGAGAAAAAAAAUCCUUCCACGCCAUGUGUCAGGGGUAUACACGAUGUAAACAAAUAAAUGUCUUCAUUUGCAUCAGAACU